UACAGAGGGUGCAAGCGUUAAUCGGAAUUACUGGGCGUAAAGCGCGCGUAGGUGGUUUGUUAAGUUGGAUGUGAAAUCCCCGGGCUCAACCUGGGAACUGCAUUCAAAACUGACAAGCUAGAGUAUGGUAGAGGGUGGUGGAAUUUCCUGUGUAGCGGUGAAAUGCGUAGAUAUAGGAAGGAACAUCAGUGGCGAAAGCGACUUCCUGGACCAGUACCGACGUUCAGGCACGAAAGCGUGGGGAGCAAACAGG
Molecule: ribosomal RNA, 253 nt
Filed under: uncultured bacterium
Lineage: Bacteria
Description: partial 16S ribosomal RNA
Rfam family: Bacterial small subunit ribosomal RNA
Source: RNAcentral